This 743-nucleotide ribosomal RNA is filed under the name Vibrio sp. COH-11. Its description in RNAcentral is "bacterial SSU rRNA". It matches the Rfam family "Bacterial small subunit ribosomal RNA", at positions 56 to 778 of the family's 1533-position model. The record is from RNAcentral. Lineage: Bacteria; Pseudomonadati; Pseudomonadota; Gammaproteobacteria; Vibrionales; Vibrionaceae.
UGCAAGUCGAGCGGAAACGACACUAACAAUCCUUCGGGUGCGUUAAUGGGCGUCGAGCGGCGGACGGGUGAGUAAUGCCUAGGAAAUUGCCUUGAUGUGGGGGAUAACCAUUGGAAACGAUGGCUAAUACCGCAUAAUGCCUACGGGCCAAAGAGGGGGACCUUCGGGCCUCUCGCGUCAAGAUAUGCCUAGGUGGGAUUAGCUAGUUGGUGAGGUAAUGGCUCACCAAGGCGACGAUCCCUAGCUGGUCUGAGAGGAUGAUCAGCCACACUGGAACUGAGACACGGUCCAGACUCCUACGGGAGGCAGCAGUGGGGAAUAUUGCACAAUGGGCGAAAGCCUGAUGCAGCCAUGCCGCGUGUAUGAAGAAGGCCUUCGGGUUGUAAAGUACUUUCAGUUGUGAGGAAGGGGGUAGCGUUAAUAGCGCUAUCUCUUGACGUUAGCAACAGAAGAAGCACCGGCUAACUCCGUGCCAGCAGCCGCGGUAAUACGGAGGGUGCGAGCGUUAAUCGGAAUUACUGGGCGUAAAGCGCAUGCAGGUGGUUCAUUAAGUCAGAUGUGAAAGCCCGGGGCUCAACCUCGGAACUGCAUUUGAAACUGGUGAACUAGAGUACUGUAGAGGGGGGUAGAAUUUCAGGUGUAGCGGUGAAAUGCGUAGAGAUCUGAAGGAAUACCAGUGGCGAAGGCGGCCCCCUGGACAGAUACUGACACUCAGAUGCGAAAGCGUGGGGAGCAAACAGGAU